GGAAUGUUUAGCGUGAGCGACGCAAACUGAGGCCCAGUCGGCAAUGUAUAUUCCAGCAGAGGCUGUGGAGAUAUCCAAUGGAAAUGUACAUUGAGCUGGUUAAUAGGGUGGGGUCAGCUAGAGAUUUAGCUCCACUGACCUGACUGCAGACAGCUGGAAACUGUCCCCAUGUCUGUCUGUCCACCGUCCGUCAAACACAAGUUCUGUCAGUACCCAGGACCGUGCUCUAAGGACUAUGGUUAGUUGAACUGUAUGUAUCCCCAUGCAGAUUGACCAACAUGGCGGAGUAGGUUGAAAACUACAUCACUUCCUCGGAAAACAGAGCUGUUUCGUAAUAAUACUGAUUAUUAAGAACACCACUAAGAACUGUAACACCACCUCAAAUAAGUAUUGUUUUACUGACUGGUUUAGUGUUAGAGUUACAGUCCCGUCUGUUCUGGUUCUUGUGGUUAAUGUGAUUACUUGCAGGUGUUGUUAUUUGCCAUGCUGGCGUUAGUUGGUCAAAGUAACUGCCUAAUGAAUACAUUUAGCCUAAGUGUAAAUAACUCAUGAGUUAGAGAAUGUGUUAAACUUGUGAUAAAUUCGAGUAACUCCAGUAGGCUACGGAGUUUCACAUUCAUUUUAAAAU
Molecule: long non-coding RNA, 628 nt
Organism: Conger conger (European conger)
Lineage: Eukaryota; Metazoa; Chordata; Actinopteri; Anguilliformes; Congridae
Exons: 3
Source: RefSeq, a predicted model, not a curated record